GGCUCAGUGGUCCAAUGGUAAAGCGUUCGUCGCGGAAUCAGAGGGUCUUGGGUUCGAUCCCAAACGGGCUUG
This 72-nucleotide transfer RNA is filed under the name Schistosoma japonicum. RNAcentral's name for it is "tRNA-Pro". The record is from RNAcentral. Lineage: Eukaryota; Metazoa; Platyhelminthes; Trematoda; Strigeidida; Schistosomatidae.